This is a long non-coding RNA of Girardinichthys multiradiatus, 673 nucleotides long. RefSeq lists it as uncharacterized. NCBI's taxonomy places the organism in Eukaryota, Metazoa, Chordata, Actinopteri, Cyprinodontiformes, Goodeidae. The record is from RefSeq and is a predicted model, not a curated record. The transcript has 2 exons.
UUUAGCAGCUAUUUCUACUAUUUAUUUGUUGUCAUAUCCACGGUGGUUUGUGCGCAGGCUGUUUGGAGGCUGUGUUUUUGUGUGCUGUGUUCUUUCUGUGCAGGGUGUGACUGGCAGGUGCUGCGGCACAGGUGUUGCUCAUCUGAGAGCAAUCAGCUGGGCUACUUAGGGAGUGAAAACCCAGAGUGAGGCGUCGGCUCAUUUUCUCACUUGGCGUGGUAACUGCUAGACCUCUGCUUCUCUGCAGUCCUGCUUCCAAGCAGUUUCUCUGACCUCGUUUUUUACCCCCCCUGCCUUGAAGAUCCCCCUUUGCUGAAGGAAGUCGUGGAACCUUUCUGGUCUCCGUUUUCACUUGUGUCAUGUUCAGAGGAGUUUGGGAACUCCAGCCUCAACAUUUCUGCCUUGAGCCUCCUUUCUGUUUCCAACUCCAAGUCCAGCUUCUCAGGAGCCACCUGAGAAUCACAGUCCAACGCUAAGACCCUCCAACCAUAGGGGAGUUUCCUGGAAGAGAAGAAACAAAGCACUUCAUCCUCUGAAAACUGUUCACAGCCUCAAGCCACCGUGGAGAAGGAAUUAUUUUCGCCCAGUCUUGCCAAGAACCCCUAGAGACCCCGUUUGUCCGCCAGCUCCAGUCCAACCUUUAUCCAUGUUUCUAAAUAAACUGUUAAAACGC